GUCCAACGUUAAUCGGGGCAGGGUGAGUCGACCCCUAAGGCGAGGCCGAAAGGCGUAGUCGAUGGGAAACAGGUUAAUAUUCCUGUACUUGGUGUUACUGCGAAGGGGGGACGGAGAAGGCUAUGUUGGCCGGGCGACGGUUGUCCCGGUUUAAGCGUGUAGGCUGGUUUUCCAGGCAAAUCCGGAAAAUCAAGGCUGAGGCGUGAUGACGAGGCACUACGGUGCUGAAGCAACAAAUGCCCUGCUUCCAGGAAAAGCCUCUAAGCAUCAGGUAACAUCAAAUCGUACCCCAAACCGACACAGGUGGUCAGGUAGAGAAUACCAAGGCGCUUGAGAGAACUCGGGUGAAGGAACUAGGCAAAAUGGUGCCGUAACUUCGGGAGAA
RNAcentral lists this ribosomal RNA (385 nucleotides) under Escherichia coli. RNAcentral's name for it is "partial 23S ribosomal RNA". It matches the Rfam family "Bacterial large subunit ribosomal RNA", at positions 1357 to 1744 of the family's 2925-position model. The record is from RNAcentral. Lineage: Bacteria; Pseudomonadati; Pseudomonadota; Gammaproteobacteria; Enterobacterales; Enterobacteriaceae.